Molecule: non-coding RNA, 3012 nt
Organism: Rattus norvegicus (Norway rat)
Lineage: Eukaryota; Metazoa; Chordata; Mammalia; Rodentia; Muridae
Source: RefSeq, a predicted model, not a curated record
AUCUUUGAAAAUUGCCUUUCUCGGUUAUCGGGAUCCAAACAAAGAAUUAGAAAUAAAACAUCCUGCAAACGGGGUGAUUAGAAUCUGAGUUGUGGAUCUUUCAGACUUCGCUGGUACCACUGGCGGAGUUUCAAUUCACAGCAUACAUCACUCAAAGAAUUGAAGAAUACCCUCCCACCCCCUUUUAAAAUUUCUGAGCCCAUUUUGACCUGAAAAAAGUGAGCAAAGAAAGUGUAAUGACAGAAAGGUUACCAGAGCAACCCCAAACAACAGUGCUCACAGGGCAAAUGAGUGACUUUUUGAAAAGAAACUAAACAAAAACAGCAGCGAAAUGGACCAGUGAACUUUUUUUUUGUUACAAAAGUCACAGGUGGAGAUUGUAAAAGUCUGAAGGAGAAAUAUAGAAACCGUGUAAACAAAUUUGGUUAGUCCCUCUCUCUUUUGAAAAUGUUUACUGUAGUCUAGCUUGGGUUUUUGUUUUGUUUUUUAUUCUUAGCACUUAAUUCUUUUGGUGUGUGUGUGUGUGUGUGUGUGUGUGUGUGUGUGUGUGUGUGUAUGUGUGUGUGUGUCAGAUUUAGGUGCCUGCUACUUUGUGCAGCUUCACACGUGGAUGUUACAGAUCCAAACCCCAAGCCCUCACCCUUGUGGAGUAAGCAAGUGCUUUGCAGAUGGAGCCAUCGUCUGUCUCUCCAGGCCCACAGCCCCACAGAUGCCAUUUCACUAAGCUGUGACAUGUGUGCGGGCUCUGGUUAAGUCUCCGAGGGCAGCCAUUUUUCAAGCCUGUUGCACAGUGCCAUUCAGAGUAGAGCAUGUAUGGCGACCUCCUGGGUGGAGGGCUGUGUGAAGCUCUGUCAGAGGCUUCAUCCCAUAGCUCGUAUGUUGUCAGGCUUGGGGUGGGCCUGAGAGCACGCAUGUCUCCCUGAGUGUCACCUGCAGCUACCUAUUCAGAGCCCUACUUGAUGGGCUACUCUGGUGUGUUCUGUUAGUUUUUGGGGGGAGUUAAGUAGUUCCCUUGCUUGGUUACCCCUCUACCCCCUUAUUCGUUGCUAGUUUCACAUUUAUGCCGUUUCCCCGAUUAGACUGUAGGCCAUCAAGAUGGAGGAACUCAUUCUGACCCAGGGACUCAAGUCCCUGGAGUCCCAUGUGCAGUUCACAAAAGCUCACUUUCCAGAAUGACAGAGCAGAAUGACAGGCUCCCUGGCAGAAGACGGAAUUCUGAGUUUAUUGUGCAUUUGGACUUAUUUCUGCUCCUCAGUGACGUGCUCAACCAUGUCUUCCCAGAUAAAUACAUGGGGGUUGUUCCAAAGGCACCCUUCAAGCCUCUUUGUUAAGAACAACCGCCAGGACAUUUGCUAGGUGGCUGAACAGAGAUAUUCUGCUCCCACACUUAGAGCCCAACAUCCACCUAAACAGAUGCCAUUAACUUUAUCUUUCCCCCACCUCAAAUAAAUACGGUAUUCCGCUCUCACUGACUCACUUCCAGUUGCCCUGGGUUAAGAAGACCACAUGAACUGCAGUUAUGUCGUUUUGUUCUGAGCCCGAGUCGCCUGUGUGCCCAGGUGGCACUCAGUUCUCCACAACCGGCUCUACAUUUCCCGGACACUGGAAGGCAAGCGUCCUUCAUCUAUGAGGACACUGUGAAUGUCACAUUAGGUUUUUAUCACAGGUCUUGCGUACACGUGACCAGACAGCAUGGUAGAUAGGGUGUUGGUUGUCUCUCUCUUGCCAAGGGAGCCAAGGCAGUUUAGACGCCAUUCCUUCCCAAGCUUCCUUACUGGGUUUUAGAAGCAUUGGGAAAGCAAACACCAGUCUUUCAGGAACAAAGUCAGAAUUUAUAACAAUGCGUCGGGACAUCAGUAUUUCUUGUGGUGUCAGGGAUGGAACAUCCUCUUGCCAAUGCCAGCCAGGUGAUCUGCCAGCAGGCUACACCACAGCCCCAACUCUACAAAGAACUCCAGUAGGCAGGCAGGCCUGAUAGCUAUGACUUGGAAACAGUUUUCUGGGUAAACUGACCCAGCACUUUAGGGACCAGAUUCUUUCCUGCAGCAACCAGGGACGGGGAGCAGCCUACUGGACAUCAGGUCAUAAUUCUUGCUGGAAAAGAUAAAGGUUCCGGUUUCUCUUCCACAAAGAGCUCACCACCCAGGAGGUACUACUUCCCCAACUCCCUAGCCCAAACCCUUUGUCUUUUGCUCAUAAAAUGAGAACAUAGAGCGGCCGAUUCUGCUGCAAUCCUGUGGUUGAUUGGAUGUGGCCAUUACUCUGCCGCUGCCCCUAUCAGGAGACAGGGUCUACUUCCCCUGUCCUUGAAGCCACUUGGUCUCAUGACUUGGAGAAUGCAGCCACGUGAAUGUUGGGCAGGCCUGCCACCCAGGCUUCCAGUGGACACCACAGCUUUUACUUUUGUUAUCUUUGAGGAAGCCCCGAGACAAGACGUGAGGACACAGGUCUCCCCUUCCGAAGUGUGAGAGGUCAGACACUCUGAUCUGCAAACAAGGCUAUGGAUGAAGCACCAGAGGUGAAGCCCGUCGGCUUCUCAUUAAAACCGAUGUUACCACUUCAUCCGCAUUACCCCUGGUAUACGGCUGGCAUUCCACAGAGGCUUUGGGGGUACCCGAGUGCUUGCAGGGUCCACGUUCAGAAGAAGGAAGAGAAACCCUUUGUCCAAAGCUGGACAGGAGCUCUCCUCACUGUUAAUGGAGCAGACAGCCUGUCUCUCCCUAAGGAACAGAGACAACGCUUGGAAGUCAAGAAGGAACAGCAAAUGUGAGGCAGCUGAUGGCCAGUGGCCUUGGCAUGUACUACUACAGAUGACCUCUUUCUACCAGACUCAGAGUUUUAGCAGGAGGAGGACCUGGCUGACACUGGACACGGCUUCAAUGGCAUAGCAUUCUUUAUAGAGUUGGAAGAGAACAAUGGCCACACAGACCCUAUCACAGUGACGACCUGUGGUCAAGAAUUUCGAUUAUGAAAAGCAGCAAUAAUAAACAAGAGUAAUUAUUUUCUCCAUUA